Molecule: long non-coding RNA, 1265 nt
Organism: Passer domesticus (house sparrow)
Lineage: Eukaryota; Metazoa; Chordata; Aves; Passeriformes; Passeridae
Exons: 2
Source: RefSeq, a predicted model, not a curated record
GAAUCCUGGCAAAGGAAUUGCACGGAAAUGCAGUUACAAACAAGAGGGGAAGACACACAGAGGCACGAAGAGAACUAGAGAAAAGUCAAGCAUGGCUGGUUCCUCAGCUAUAGCUGGUACUACCUUAAAGAGAUUCACCUCCAUGAUAAUUUGAAGAAGGUAACACAAAAAUUCGCCACUGAAACAUCUGAAGAAGGCAAGUUUGUUUACAAACUUUGUUUCCACAAAACACCGUAUCUUCAGUAUCCCAAGUUCACAGAAAUGUGGGAAUGCUGUCCUGACAGGCUGCAGUGGAACUAAUGACUGACAGAAUGACUCUCCUGGUGCUGUCCUCCACAGCUCCAACCUCACAGCACCUUAGGCUUGCACAUUCCAGAUGCAAGCAAACCCACAUGCAGAUUUUACACAAACACUUCCAAAAGAGUUAAGGACAAAUGCAAAAAGAUAACACAAAGAGAUUGUACUCCCAACUCCAUAGAGGAAAAAUUCAACAUUCUGGCAAGAAAAUGAUACAUAGUCUACAGUAAUAAAAUAUAAUUAACUACUACUUUAUGAGUAGGAAUAUGUGAACAACAGGUUCAAAGUGCUGAAGAUCCCCUACUUUAUGAGAGGCUACAUUGACUCUUCAGGAUGUUUUGGCAAAAAACCACUUAGACCUGCCAAGCUACAAAAGUCCAUAAAUAAACCCUCUUUCAUAAUCAAAUAUUAACAUCAGCCUUCUGUAGGUUUACAGCUGCUGUAUGUUACACAGGACUUUGCACGCCAUGUCCUUAUUCAGUAUCACACUUUCUUCCUGGCUUCUUUUAUGAGGAAAACAAUGAACAGGUAUAAAGUUAAUGCAUGAAGAAUCCAGUACCUUAGAUUUUUUGGUCCUCUUGUCAUCAUCUUCAUCUUCAGAGUGGUGGUGCUUUUUCUUCUUCUGUUUUUUAGCCAAGUGCGACUGACUUGUGUGAGACUCUUCUACAUCCUCAUCCAGCACAAGGUCAUACUUGGCACUGAUGGUGCUGGUUAAGGACAGACCUGUUUCCCAGUAUCAGCAAGGAGCAGAACAAACAGCCUGGGAAGCAAACCAAUCCCUGUUUAUCUGACAUGAGUUCACCAAGACUGAACACAUAUUUCAGUCAGAACACAGUUGUACACACUUUAGAAAAAAAAAAUCAGCUGUGCUAAAAGGACUGAAGUCUGUCCUGUUAAACAAUACAGCCAGGCUGCAUUCUCCUUUCUUUUCUACCUGUGGAUAUCUGAACAAGCUAUGGCAUUUUCUC